Molecule: RNA transcript, 1341 nt
Organism: Raphanus sativus (radish)
Lineage: Eukaryota; Viridiplantae; Streptophyta; Magnoliopsida; Brassicales; Brassicaceae
Gene name: mediator of RNA polymerase II transcription subunit 19a
Exons: 7
Source: RefSeq, a predicted model, not a curated record
AAAACAGAAAUGAAAAAGAAAGAGAGAAUAUGUACCCGAUUGGUUAAGAAGAAACAGAAACUCUGAAGAAACCCUAAAGGAAGAAGAAGUAGUCUCCCUCUCUCUCUCUCUCUCUCUCGAUCUCUGUCCUCUCUCUUUCUCCCAUCACUUUGCUCAAUCAAAUUUGCGCGGGAAAUCGGACCAACCACUUUCUCCCGUUUUCCUUGCUUCUGGAGAUACAGCUCUUUUAGCUAGAUUGAUUUUCUCCACGAGAUCUGGGGCUUGUCUUACGUGAUACAUAUCGGAGUGAUCAUGCAAAAGCAAUUGAGAGCUGCUCGUUAAAAGAAGAAGAUGGAGCCUGAACGUCUCCAAUUUGGAGGUCCGAGAGAGUUGUGCGGUGCCGUGGAUCUUAUAUCUCAGUACAAACUACUGCAACACCAUGAGUUCUUUUGCAAAAGAUCGCUGUCCGCGUCUCUAUCGGAUUCCCACUAUCUUCAUGACGUGGUUGGGGACGCUGAGAUUAGAAAAGGAGAAGGGAUGCAGUUAGACCAGCUUGUUCAGAAUAAUAAUACGUCACAGAUCCGGGAGAGUAAUACCCGCAUCCAGCCUUUUGAUGUGGAUGAGCUUAAGGAGGCUUUCCAGCUAAAUGAUAUGACUCCUGUUGAAUUGCCUCUAGCAGAGAAGGGAGCUCCUACAAUUCCACCAAAGUCAAAACGUGAGUCGAAAGAUAAGGACAGGAAACAUAAAAAACACAAGGACAGGGAUAAGGACAAAGAUAGAGAGCAUAAGAAGCACAAGCACAGGCAUAAAGACCGAAGCAAAGAUAAAGACAAGGACAAGGACCGAGACAGAAAAAAGGAAAAAAAUGGCCACCAUGAUUCGGGUGAUCACUCUAAGAAACAUCAUGAUAAGAAAAGGAAACAUGAUGGGGAUGAAGAUCUAAAUGACGUUCAUAGGCACAAGAAAAACAAGCAUAGGAGCUCAAAGCUUGAUGAGAUGGGUGCUAUAAGGGUUGGUGGCUAAAAUUGGUAGACAUUCCCAGUUUUUGUAUUCUGGAAUCCUGUAGGUGUCAUGAAAGAGGUUUAGAAGCGGUUUUCAACUCACUGUAGACUACAUAUUAGGUUAAAAAAAUUCAAAAUGGUGAAUUCAUUCGUUGAAGGUGGUGAAAUUUGUGAAGAACUUGUAUUACAUUUGAUUUGGUGGCAGCUUUGUAACAUUUUGAUCUUUGGAGUGUUUUAUUCCAUCUCUUUUCUGUCUAUAAAAUCACAAUACUACUCUCAAUGUUUACUAUUCAUGUAAAAAUAAUUAGUUAUGCAAUUACUGUUUGAAAAAGAACACUAUAAAUCAAUAUAGUUGUAAAAA